AUGAAGAUGACAUCAUCAAAAUACAUUUACUAUAUUUUGAAUAAUUUGCAAUGAAUUAUCAGAUCCACUAUAUUGCAAAUGCAUUUCAACAGUAAGUAUUUAAUUCACAUCACAUCACAUUAUAUAAAUAAAUUGUGAGCCAAAUCACAUUAUGAAACGAAAGACAAAUCAUAUUAUAUAUUCAAUCUCUUAGGCAAAUCAUCCUCUAAAUAGAAAUGACAAUAAAAAAUAACACCAAAUCAAGUUUGACACGACAAUACACAAGACAAUGGAAUCUUGCUGAGUUGUUUGAGCCCUCAAGAGAAAACCAAUCAGGUUAACGGUAUCAUGUGUUGCUUCUUCUCCCAGGCUUCAUUCUUCUUUUGUUGGAUCUUCUUCACAGCUUCCAAUUCUUCUUGAUGCUUCCUUUGCAUCUCUUCAAGUGCUCUAUCUUGUGCUUCAAAUCUCACAGCUAACUCCCCCCAAUGCCUAUAAACUGAGGAAACAUAACAGCGUGUUGCAUCUUAAUGAGAUGAAAACAUACAAGAUAAAAACGUAUAACAGUACCACUAAGAAGCACAUAAUUUAUCAAAUUAUGAAUCUGAGUACGUUAUUAACUAGAUUUUCGGGUAUGCAGAUGGGCCAAUAAAACGGUAUAUUAGUUUGGCAAAACAAGAAGACACAAACUUGUAUAAAAAUUGUCAGUCAAAAAAAUUUACAUCGAUCCCUGCUGCACUUUUAACUAGUGUGCUACUUAAAGUUCUAAGUAGCAUGUGAAUGACUAGUGAGUCUAGUAGGGCAGCAUAUGACAAUGAACUAUAGUAAUCUACUGAACAUAUUUCAUAAUUAGUUGCAUAAGUAUAGUUGUUUGACGCUUUGGUUACUACAAAAGUUUAGAUCAGCACAUCACUACAAAAACAGAUUGAUAAUGUACUAAAAAAUUGCAGAUCAAAACACAAAAAUGUUUCUUUAGUGAGAAGUGACAGCCAUUCAUCCAUUCAAUGUACUGAACAAUCUCAGAAUAAUGCAAUAUCUGGAGGUCAUCACCCAACCACUACAUGCCACAUUAUUCCUAUUAACUGUAUGUUUUCUCAUCUCUGAAUUGAUUCAGACAUGCUAUGAAUUUGGCCGUUCAUCACCUUAUGUACAACUACGUGCCAUAAGAAACUAGUACUAGUACUAUCUACACUAUUUUAAUCAGUUGUGUGCUUACUCACCUUCCCCAACAGCUACAGCUAAUUGUGUACGUGCACUGGAGUCGUACGAUGCUUACUCAAUAUAAAUAUAACAAAUAAAAAUACAAGUUAAGCAUAAGGAAGGACACGAUGAGCUUAAAUGCUAGGCAUACACAACCAGGUAAGGAAUUAUCAAGUACUUGACUGUAAGAAAACAGAAAGUGGAGAGUUAGUAAAAAGUUUAAGCUUCAGACUUUACCAACAUAGCAAGGUCGAUAAGAUUAUCUUGAUAUUGCAAACCCAGUCCUGCUACCUAUGGUGAGCAGUCGAUUAAUGCGCCUGCGUUAUAGGGGAAUAAAACAGAAGAGACAUAGUAUACUGACAAGUGUUCACAUGGAGAAAAAAUAUUACAGAAUAACAUAAUCAUUUUCUGUUCCACCAAGCAGUAUUAGCAUCUGAAUGAACCUUUUAGUAUAUAGAUUUUUCAGCAGCUAGUAACUAUGGUAUGGCCCAUGAUACAAGCCCUCGGCUAUUCCUAGUAUAGUUGCAUUGUUAAUACUCUGAACGUAGAGUCUAGUCACAUAUUAGAUGUUCUUGAGCAUGCUGGAGAUUGCAUAAUAUUGCAGCUUAAAGGGGAAACUUGAGUUGAAAUUAUUCAUUGUAGAAAUUUAGAGACAGCUCGGAACAAAGAAGUAUGAACCAUACCUUUGAUAAGACCAAAGGACAUUGAUCUUACUCCUGAUCUAGAUGAACUGCAACUAGGAAAAGGAGAUCUCAAAUAAGUGGUUAGAAGAGUCAAAUUCCAGAUCACAAAUCUUACAUCAGGAAAUUAUGGAAGAAAAAGGAACCAGCGAAAUAUUACCCUCGAGUAUUUGAAAGGGGGCAGAUCUAAUGGUGCUGUAGCCGGGUUCCUUGCAGAGUUUCCAACCCAUCCCCCUAGCCUAUCUGCAUCAUCGGGUUACCUCUCCCAAACCUGGUGUCUCCCGCCGCCGCCGUCUUGUUGGUCGCUGGACGAAACCAAUCUUCUAAAUCACCAUCUACAUCUCAAGUAGUGGGCGAUGGAGGGGUGGUGAGGCAGCGUCCAGAUCUUGGUGAGGCACGCGGUGAGAAACGAAGACGGGGAAGGCGCCAGAGAUGGAUGGGGCGAUGGUUGACAAGCCAUCCAUGAAGUGGCGGUGGAGGUAGCAUGGAGGUCGGACCAGGCAGCAAACAGGGCACGUCGGCAUCGGGGCGCAGCUGGCGGCGAGUGAUUUGGAGGCGCCGCCGGUGAGAUGAGAUUUGAGUCAGGUGCGAGUUGGUACAGGUGUAUCUGUUGGGGAUUUUUUUGGGCUAGGAUUUUAUUUGGAGGCACAGAGCGUGGCGUGAGACCUAGCGCCAAAUUGGAUCACCACUUGGAGCUGAAUUCUGUUUCUUUUCUUUUCUUUUUUUGCUCCGUGGUUCUAAAUUCUUGGUGUGGCAUCGUUUUAAAUGGUGGGUGAUAAGGAUUAAAAAAAUCCCAUCAACUCUCAUAUUUCCAUUUUAACUUUUGAGAGCUAAAUGUAACAAUAUUAGCUCACGAGUGCGCCAUUGAUGUUUUUUUGCAUACACACUAACUAUUUAUUAUAUUAUAGAUGUGAAAAUAAUGUCCUCUUGGCUCCCUUAUUUUCAUUUUUAUUUUUGAGAUAAACACAUGAGCUCACGGAUUCGCUCGAUUCAAGUUUUUUGCCCAACCACUACCUAUUUAUAUUAGAAAGAACAAAAUAAAUUUUACCUUUAUAAAAAAGAACUAAUAUAAGUAUUUCCAUGCCCACUACCUAUUUAUAUUAUAUCGAGAAAAAUAAUUACAACCCUCAGCAGCCUUUGAAAAAACUAUGGCAGGUCCCAGUGCCAACACUGACGCAUGGGUCCAAUCGCUCAAUUACCCAAGAACUAGCUUUGCCGAGUCUGAAUACUAUACCUAACAUGAAAAAAAUGAUCUUCUCACAUUCAUAGUACUCGGUGACUCUAGUGGGCUCGUCAUGAAAAUUACCAAAACGUCACCAAAACUGGGAGCCAGGUGUGCUGAAAGGUCGAGGCAAUUCGGUGACGUUUAUCGUCACCGAUUUGCGAUAAUUGGUGACGUCACCUACAACAACAUCAUGCAUUAGGAAUUUAUGUGACGUUCUCCACCAUUGUCAUGAGGAUUUUUGUCACAGUAUGUCAAUUUUGUUGUAGUGUCCCACAAAUCACACAGUGUCCAAGGGGGCAGUCUUUUGUCAGGUGAUUUGAGUCUUUGCAUUUAUUAUGGAGCACCCUGUUCACUCCUCCGAUCCCUGGUCUCCCCCCCCCUAAUUGUGUAUUUCUGUUGGUAUACUGGUUUCUAUCAUUAACACCAAACCCUCUCUAUCCUUGAGCUCCUCCUCCAUUAUUCACCAUCUAGAUCUCUCUCCCCUGUUUCCCAUGAUUUCUGGGCACUACUAGGAAAAGGGCUAUAGAUGGAAAUGACACUAAUGGCGCACCACACAAGUGGUGCGCCAUUAGUAUAUACUAAUGGCGCACCACCCUCUGAUGCGCCAUUAGUGUUGAAACUACUAAUGGCGCACCCUGACCACGGUGCGCCAUUAGUACCAAAUUUUUUUUUGAACUAGUGCGCCUGUCCAAACAUACUAAUGGCGCAUCCCCUGGUGGUGCGCCAUUACUAGUUGUAACUAGUAAUGGCGCACCAUCCAGGAGGUGCGCCACUAAUGUUAUUUUUUUUAUUAUUGCUUUUAUUCCUUUUUUUGCAAAAGUUCUAAUGGCGCACCGCCAGGGGGUGCGCCAUUAGUAACCUGGAUUACUAAUGGCGCAUUUGUUGCUGGUGCGCCAUUAGUAAGUGGGCAGCAACAAGAUAUUUUGGACAGCCUCUCCUCCCACACUCACUUUCUCCCCACUUCAUUCUCUCCACCGCCUCCUCCUUGUCUCGGGUGCCUCCUCUUUUUCACCUCAUUUCCACCAUAGAUUCAUUCAAAUUAAGUGGUUAAGUUACCUUGUUUUGCUAGGUAAGUAAGGGGGGAAGCUAUAUUUAUGUUGUUCUCCCUACAAACAAUGUGCACAUGCACUUUCUAUGGCCUAGCUAGAUCUAUGUAUGUUCGUGGUGUUGCAUAUGUUUGUGGUGUUGCAUAUGUGUUUGUGUUUGGAGGUGUACCGGUAUUUGAAAUGCGAUAGUUGCCAAUAUUUUGCCGGAAUGUUGAUUCAUUUCCGUUUCGGCGAGAAUUUUGGCAUUAAGCAUUCUUUUUGGUCCUAUUUUUAGGGAAAGUCAUGCCAAAUUUUUUCUUGGUUCUAAAAUAUCGUUUUGCUCUACCCCGCAGGCGACCAUGGUUCGCACGAUGACCGAAGGCAUCGUGAAUAGGUUUUUGAGGUCCGCGAAGGCCGAGAUGCUUCAAAAGAACGAGACGGAGAUAAGAUGUCCGUGUUGAAGAUGCAAGCUGAAUAGCCUUAUUGCGGACCCGGAUUCCGGGCAGGUGCGGGACCACCUGCUCUUGCGUGGUUUCAUGGAUGGCUAUCGGUGGCAAGGUGAUGAUGAUGACUACGAAGUCGUUCAUGGGGGCCGGGCAAGAAAUGAGGAAGGGCAGCAAGACAACCACCGCGGCUCGGGGGGGCGAGAAGACGAAGAAUCCCCAGGAGAUGAUCACGACGGUGAUGCUGUACACAGUCAUCAUGUAGAAGAUGCAGGACAUGAUGAUGAUGUCGGCAGAGCAAACGACGUUGGACCAUCGAUGGGCUGGGUGCAGGACCCUCAUAUUCAAGAGCUGCUUCUCAAGCAGACGGAUAACGCAAGAGCUGCCGCCCGAGAGAAAGCCAAGAUGGAUCAACUUGAGUUAGACGCGGUUACUCCGUUGUAUGAAGGAUGCAGGCCCGAGGAUACCCGCCUGAAAGUAACGCUCAUGGCUCUGGAGAUGAAGGUAAAACACAAAAUGACCGACGCAUGCUUCGACGAGAACAUGUCAUUUUGGCACGAACGUCUUCCCAAGGGGAACAAGUGCCCGACCAGUUUGGAGGAGGCAAAGAAAAUCGUGUGUCCUCUGGAUUUACCGCACGUGAAAUACCAUGUGUGCAUGAACAAUUGCAUCAUUUAUCGGGACGAGCACACGGAGUCUACAAUAUGUCCGGUGUGCGGUGUCACUCGAUACAAGAAGAGGAAGAAAGCUCCUCGAAAAGUGGUGUGGUACUUUCCGAUCACUCCUCGUCUGCAGCGGUAUUUCGCGGAUCCUAAGGUAGCAAAGCUCCUGCGUUGGCACGCGGAUAGGGAGGAGAAGAAGCGAGAAGAUGACGCAAAUGAUCCGGAGAUAGAUAAAAAAGACAAGAUGUUGAGUCACCCUAAGGAUGCGAGCCAGUGGCAAGCAUUGAACUUCGAAUACCCAGAAUUUGGGAACGAUCCAAGGAACAUCGUGCUGGGCGCGAGCACCGAUGGAGUCAAUCCGUUUGGCAGCCAGAGAAGCACACAUAGCACCUGGCCUGUGUUUGUGUGUAUGUACAACCUUCCCCCCUGGUUGUGCAUGAAGAGGAAGUACAUUCACAUGAGUAUGCUAAUUGAAGGGCCGAAACAACCAGGGAACGACAUCAAUCUGUAUCUGGGGCUGCUGAAAGAGGAGCUUGACACGCUGUGGAAAAUGCCAGCCAAUACGUGGGACGCCGCAGAGAAAGAAUAUUUCCCUAUGAGAGCCGCACUGCUCACGACGGUGCACGACUAUCUCGGUUACGGAUAUCUUGCGGGGCAGGUAGUCCACGGAUUUUCUGGAUGCGUAAGGUGCAUGGAUGACACAAUGUAUCGCCAGCUAGAUAGAGAUCCCGGGUCUUCGAAAACCGUGUUCAUGGGACAUCGAAGGUGGCUUCGCGACGAUGACCCGUGGAGGAAACGCAAGGAUCUGUUCGAUGGUGAAACCGAACCCCGAAAACGCCCGUGUACGAGGAGCGGCGAGGAAAUAGACAAGCUGUUGAAAAAUUGGAAAGACUGCCCACUGCCGGGAAAGAAGCAAAAGGCGCCAGAGCCGCUGCUGAAGGUAUGGAAAACGAGGUCUGUUUUCUGGGACUUGCCGUACUGGAAGAUCCAUCGUGUGCCUCACAGCCUUGAUGUCAUGCAUAUCACGAAGAACGUGUGCGAGAGUCUGCUUGGUACCCUGCUCAACAUGCCAGAGAGGACCAAAGAUGGGCCGAAAGCAAGGGCAGACUUGAAAUCAAUGGGCAUCAGGCAGGAGCUUCACGCUAUAUAUGAUGAUGAUGAUGAUGAUGAUGAUGAUGAUGAUGAGGCGAAGCAGGACACAGAAAGUCGUCGCAAAGGCAAAAAGGCCAAGAAGACCGGAAAUGACUACCCUCCCGCGUGCUUCACUCUAAGUCAGGAGGAGAUCGAGCAGUUUUUCACCUGCCUCCUAGGAGUAAAACUUCCUUACGGUUACGCGGGGAAGAUAAGCAGAUACCUAGACCCAGCGAAGCAGAAGUUCAGCGGGAUGAAGUCUCACGACUGUCACGUGCUGAUGAUGCAGAUACUUCUAGUUGCAAUCCGUGGGAUCAUGGACGCGCACGUCCGUGAAAUGCUAUUUGGCCUAUGCAACUUCUUCGACGUCAUCUCUCGGAAGUCGAUUGGCGUGAGGCAACUCAGAAGGCUACAGGAAGAGAUCGUGGUGAUACUAUGCGAGCUUGAGAUGUACUUCCCGCCCGCAUUCUUCGACGUUAUGGUGCAUCUGCUGGUCCAUAUAGUGGAGGAUAUCAUCCAACUCGGGCCGACGUUCCUGCACAGCAUGAUGCCGUUCGAAAGGAUGAAUGGUGUCAUCAAAGGAUACGUUCGCAACAUGUCACGUCCAGAAGGAAGCAUAGCCAGGGGCUUUCUGACCGAAGAGUGCAUCUCCUACUGCACGAAUUAUCUAGGCAUCGAGAACCCCGUUGGUCUGCCCGUCAACAGGCACCUCGGCAGGCUCGCUGGAUGGGGUCACCGUGAGGGUCGCCNNNNNNNNNNNNNNNNNNNNNNNNNNNNNNNNNNNNNNNNNNNNNNNNNNNNNNNNNNNNNNNNNNNNNNNNNNNNNNNNNNNNNNNNNNNNNNNNNNNNNNNNNNNNNNNNNNNNNNNNNNNNNNNNNNNNNNNNNNNNNNNNNNNNNNNNNNNNNNNNNNNNNNNNNNNNNNNNNNNNNNNNNNNNNNNNNNNNNNNNNNNNNNNNNNNNNNNNNNNNNNNNNNNNNNNNNNNNNNNNNNNNNNNNNNNNNNNNNNNNNNNNNNNNNNNNNNNNNNNNNNNNNNNNNNNNNNNNNNNNNNNNNNNNNNNNNNNNNNNNNNNNNNNNNNNNNNNNNNNNNNNNNNNNNNNNNNNNNNNNNNNNNNNNNNNNNNNNNNNNNNNNNNNNNNNNNNNNNNNNNNNNNNNNNNNNNNNNNNNNNNNNNNNNNNNNNNNNNNNNNNNNNNNNNNNNNNNNNNNNNNNNNNNNNNNNNNNNNNNNNNNNNNNNNNNNNNNNNNNNNNNNNNNNNNNNNNNNNNNNNNNNNNNNNNNNNNNNNNNNNNNNNNNNNNNNNNNNNNNNNNNNNNNNNNNNNNNNNNNNNNNNNNNNNNNNNNNNNNNNNNNNNNNNNNNNNNNNNNNNNNNNNNNNNNNNNNNNNNNNNNNNNNNNNNNNNNNNNNNNNNNNNNNNNNNNNNNNNNNNNNNNNNNNNNNNNNNNNNNNNNNNNNNNNNNNNNNNNNNNNNNNNNNNNNNNNNNNNNNNNNNNNNNNNNNNNNNNNNNNNNNNNNNNNNNNNNNNNNNNNNNNNNNNNNNNNNNNNNNNNNNNNNNNNNNNNNNNNNNNNNNNNNNNNNNNNNNNNNNNNNNNNNNNNNNNNNNNNNNNNNNNNNNNNNNNNNNNNNNNNNNNNNNNNNNNNNNNNNNNNNNNNNNNNNNNNNNNNNNNNNNNNNNNNNNNNNNNNNNNNNNNNNNNNNNNNNNNNNNNNNNNNNNNNNNNNNNNNNNNNNNNNNNNNNNNNNNNNNNNNNNNNNNNNNNNNNNNNNNNNNNNNNNNNNNNNNNNNNNNNNNNNNNNNNNNNNNNNNNNNNNNNNNNNNNNNNNNNNNNNNNNNNNNNNNNNNNNNNNNNNNNNNNNNNNNNNNNNNNNNNNNNNNNNNNNNNNNNNNNNNNNNNNNNNNNNNNNNNNNNNNNNNNNNNNNNNNNNNNNNNNNNNNNNNNNNNNNNNNNNNNNNNNNNNNNNNNNNNNNNNNNNNNNNNNNNNNNNNNNNNNNNNNNNNNNNNNNNNNNNNNNNNNNNNNNNNNNNNNNNNNNNNNNNNNNNNNNNNNNNNNNNNNNNNNNNNNNNNNNNNNNNNNNNNNNNNNNNNNNNNNNNNNNNNNNNNNNNNNNNNNNNNNNNNNNNNNNNNNNNNNNNNNNNNNNNNNNNNNNNNNNNNNNNNNNNNNNNNNNNNNNNNNNNNNNNNNNNNNNNNNNNNNNNNNNNNNNNNNNNNNNNNNNNNNNNNNNNNNNNNNNNNNNNNNNNNNNNNNNNNNNNNNNNNNNNNNNNNNNNNNNNNNNNNNNNNNNNNNNNNNNNNNNNNNNNNNNNNNNNNNNNNNNNNNNNNNNNNNNNNNNNNNNNNNNNNNNNNNNNNNNNNNNNNNNNNNNNNNNNNNNNNNNNNNNNNNNNNNNNNNNNNNNNNNNNNNNNNNNNNNNNNNNNNNNNNNNNNNNNNNNNNNNNNNNNNNNNNNNNNNNNNNNNNNNNNNNNNNNNNNNNNNNNNNGACGCCGCCUCGACCCCGCCCCGACGCCGCUGCCCCACCUCGACCCCGCCCCGUCCACACCACCGUCGACCCGCCUCCCUAUACGCCACGGCGCCGCAGGACCUAGACUAGACGCCCAAGGUACGACCACCUCCUCCUUACUUCUCCAUUCCGCAAGUCCAUAGCCUCCUCUCACGUGCUUGCUUCCUUCUCCAUUCCACUGAUUCUGGUCAGUGUGUGUAUGCUUAUUGAUGGCAAAUAACAAAGUUGAAUCAUAUUAGUUUUAGAUUCGUUGAAAUAUUAAGUCCUUAGUUGAAAGGUUGCAAUGAGUAGUUUGCAUUGUCCAUUUGUGCCAUUUUCUGCUUCUAAUUUUGUUGGUUCUUCUAGCAAGCAUAUUCCAUUGCUCCUGAUUGAAUUCCCUUACCAUUUUGUCUAUCUGUGGUUCUUUACUUCGGUGAUGUAAUCAUUUUAAAGUUUGACCUAGAUACUAUAAUUAAUAAACAGUUGUGAAUAGUAUAUAUCGAGAGGACUCCACUAUGCAACCUUUGACAUGCUCAUCACAUACUGUUAUUUAUAGUGAACCUUCUUUACUUGUAUUUACAGGGAAACAAUUGGUGCAAUUCUUGCCCGGGGCCACAGCCGUGUACCUGUGUAUUCAGGAAACCCUAGAAAUGUUAUAGGUCUCCUGUUGGUAGGUAAAAAUUAUGCCAUGGAGAAUUACUCGAUGAUCUUUCUUUAUGUACUUUACUAACUUAGAACCAUUUAAAUAUUAUUUAGGUCAAAAGUCUUCUGACAGUUCGUGCUGAAAUAGAGAUGCCAGUUAGUGCUGUUUCCAUUAGGAGGAUUCCAAGGUAUAUACCCCAAUUCUAUUUAAAUAUAAAUUGGAAAAAUCUCUUUCAAAAUUUGGUACAAUUGCUUGAAUUUUUGGAGUACACGAAUUAUGGGCUAGUGAUGAUCAUAUGCACUAGUUACUAGUAGAUGCUUCUCGACCCAAUUUGAGCAGCAGAGCACUAGCACCAAGCUCUGGGUUUUGUUCGGUACACUCUGAGAUGUAGAUGCCUGAAAGAUAAACAUGUUGUUUGUCUACAAAAAAAACUUAAUUACUAUUAUGGGCUAGUGAUGAUCAUAUGCACUAGUUACUAGUAGAUGCUUUUUUAUCCUCAGAUUGGCGUCUAGUGUUCAUAGAAAUAUAUGAUUAUCUUUGUUGUAUAAACUGACUGGCUGCCAAGUUACAACUUACUGGUGAAAGUUCAUUUUUUUUAUCAGUGGCAUACGAGUGGCAGAAAAGUGGCUAGCCUCGUCUGCAUAUAUGAGCAUAUAGAUCAACAAAAAAUAAACCCAUUCGGCAAGAACAUUUAUGCACCUAUUUACUAGAAGAAUGAAUAAAUGAAUGUCAGGGCUAGAGAUCAUUACUGUUUGUUAUCCAGGAAAUACAAAAGUUUGGAUUGUUGAAUGCAUUCUGAAUUCUAGCUAUACAAAAGUUUUUUCCUUCUGAAAUGUGUUUUUCUUCUUCUUCCUGUUUUGAGUAGUUUGCGUAAGUUUUCUGAAAUGAUGAUGUAUUUUUCUUAAUUCAGCGAACCGUGAGAUGGACUUAGAAGAAGAAACUGUCUCCUGAUUGCAGUUGAUUAAUUAGUAUAUAUGUUGUAGACUUGUAGCAUACCUACCUCUAUAUGGUUUUAUAUUUCAACUUGAUUUCUGAAUAUUCCAAACCACACGCGAAGUCCUUUCUUACAAAAAGAAGUUUCUCUUCAUAACAGUGAACAAAACUACUGUCAAUCAGCUCAGUUCUAGUGCUGUUGGAUUUUUUUUAAUUGGCUUCUUGCAGUUUUGAAAAUUCAGUUUAUUCGGUUACUGAAAAUUCAGUUAAUUCAGUUAGGCACACAAAUUUCAGAACUUUUGUGUGCCCUAGUACUUGGUGUUUGUAGAAAACCAGGAGUGUCAAUGGGACUAGAAUUCACUUGUUCUUAUAUGGGUUUGUAAAACUUGUUCAUGUACUGAACUACUAAUGCCUUGUGAUGCUCUGAAUUACUUGUGAUGCCUCUGAAUUACUUGUGAUCACAUUGAGAAAGACUUGUAAAGAUGAUGAUCAUCUUUAACAGAAAACAAUUUGUGAUGAUUUUGCUAGUUUGCUGGGUUUUGUCUCCGACCAUCGUGUCGUGAUGAUUUUGCAGGUACCCCGAGAGGCCCUUGAGUUUGCCGGAAUGUCGAUUAACUUCCGUUCCGGCAAAUUUGGGUACUCCAUAUGUCCUAUUUUCAGCAAAGGUCAUGCUGAAAUUUUCCGUGAAUUUUAGCAUGACUUUGCUAAAAAUAGGACAUAUGGGGUACUUGUGACUAAUGCAUAGGCCGGGGUAUCUUAGUAGUUAAUUAAGUAGGAUCAAGUGCCCCGGCAUACUUGUGACUAAUGCAUGGCUUUUAGGGUGCCUCGGUGUCGAUAAAAACCAAAAUGAUGAAAAGUUAGGCUUUUAGGGUGCCUUGGCGUCGAAAAACCCUCAAUGAUAAAAGCUUACAUUUUAGGAUGCCUCGGUGUCGACAAACCCUAAAUGAUGAGACCAUGAUCUUGUUCCUUGACAAUAACCAACUUUUUGACCAAACUUUGUUUCUAUUUAGAGAUAAACAUGGCCCACAACGAUGAGGCCGGGGGUUCGGGCGGCAAGGCAUUCUGGGAGCUGUCCCAGGAGAUGGAGGAACAACCUCACUUGUAUGAGGCCGCCGCCUUCCCCACCGAUCCUGAGACCACGGAUGGUGCCGCCGAGGAUGACCACACUGAUGCCACCACUGAUGGUGCCGCCGAGGAUGCCACCACUGAUGAUGGCGGCGCACGCACAGAUAGCAGCCAGCCGAAGAGGCAACGGAAGGACCGGCGCCCGAUCGUGCUCCGCACCCUCAAGGAGGAAGUUACUGAAGUGGACUCCAACGGGAAUCCAACGGCGCCCGAACGAAUAGUCAAGGGGUACUCGCUUCAGCUCGGGUGCAUUGUCCGGAGCACCGUCUCGAUCAACACCGAGAACCUGAGGCAUCCUGACCGAGGGAAUUUGCGCCACCUCCUCUUCACGAAGCUGCACGAACGAUACAAGUUCCCCGCUGAAUUCGAAAACACAAGCCUCAAUGGGAAUAAAGUGAACAAUGCUGCCCUCACGAAGAUGAGCAAGGCCCUGUCUACUUGGAAAAGCAAUGUGAAGAGAAUGAUUGAGAAAGGUGAGAGUUAUGAGAAGAUCAAGGAGAAAAAUCCUUCGAUCACCGAAGAUGACUACAACGACUUCAAGAUCAAUUGCUCGAGCACCGCAAGCUCCCAAUCAAGUGAGUGGGGGAAACAAAUGCGGGAGCUGAACAUAGGGGAACACACACUCGGUCCCGGCGGUUACAGAGUGGCGGAGCCUAUAUGGGACAAGGAGGAGGCGGACCGUGCCGAGCAAGGCCUACCGCCCCUCUUCGAUAAAUACGGUGACAAGCAGACCAGGAACUUUGUCAGGGCCCGGUACAAGAAGGACCCGAAAACAAAGGAGCUUACCACGGAUCCGAAGACCAGGCGGCUUGAGCUUGUUCUGGUAAGGAAUACACCCCCGCGUAAUUAGCUCCAUAUGGUUGCAUUCUAAUUAAUGAAGCCGAAUUUCUAAAUGGUUCACAUUCCUUCCGCAUGCGGCUGAAAGCAGUAGCGCGGGGUCGACUAAGAGCAACCCUUGGGACACCACUCUAAAUAGGGGGUUGAAUAUAAUGAAGAACAAGGAUAAGCUCAGUAAGCCGACGUCAGCUGGUCGUGUGGCCGGCAAAGGCUUGUCGACAAAAUGGGGGUCAUACUAUACCGCUGGUGUGCGGAAGGAGAAAAAGACCAGCUCGGAAAGCCAGGCGCGAGAGGUUCAAGAACUCAAGGCACAGGUGGCGCGGAUUCCGGAGAUUGUCCAAGAGCAAGUGGAACAACGACUCGGAGCGACGAUCACCGCCCUUGUGCCUACCUUGAUCUCGGGGUUGAGUGCGUGGAUUGCGGGCGGCCCCCGAUUCCUACCUUCACGGCCAGCAACUCGCAUAAUGCGAUGGCGGGGCCAUUGGUGUCUCCGACGCCGGCACGGGAGCUUAAUGCACCCGGGUGUACGCCGGCCGGCACCUCUUCAGCAAGCGGCCGCUCCGUCAACUGCACGCCCGCCGUUGGCGGUGACUCGACAUUAGCCGAGCUCGACGCCAUCAUCACGGUAACUAAUUAAGCCUCUCUCGACCGAGGACUUCAUCUCCUUGCCUUUGACUGGGCAUCCCUGACGCCCUACAUGUUUUCGCAGGGCACCGCCGACGUUCCGUGCACUCUCCUCCACUUCGUGAACAACGAGUUGGUCGAUGUCGCCAAGGGCAAAAUCGUUCAACCGGGCAACCCCUUGUUCCACGGUACCCAGAUGCCACCCAACUUGUUUAGGGUUCAACUGGUUCGGGUGCUGCCAGGCUGCGACGACUUGUUACCUCCGAUUCGACCCGUCGGGGCCGACGAUGAUGACGUGAUGACCCUCAGCGCCUGCCUGAGCUGGCCCCUGCUUUGGCCGAAGAGCCAGAUUCGUUUGGGGGCGGGGGACACCACCCCAAAGACAACACCGCCAGUCGUGCCGGCGCCAAGUCGGCCCCAUGGCAAGACCGCCGUAAGGGUGCUGGACAUCCCUAUGCCACUGGAUCCAAACAUGCAUAUGGCACAGGAUCAGAACGACGACGACGACGACGAUGAUACAUUUGGCAACGUCGAUCAGUACUUUGCCGAGCAUGGGUACGAUGGCGACUUCAUGGGGCCUCCUUCUCAAGAACCAAACCCAACAAAAGACGUGUGCGAUCUAGCUCGUACCGCGGAGAAGCCAAGUUGCAACAGGCGCCGUCUGGCGUUCAGCUCUCAGGAGACGCCUCUAGCUGCCGACUUCACCGAGCCUCAGAUAGGCGAGGUGCGAAAUAUUAUCAGCCCCAACACACUCAAGAAGGCGGUCUGUGAGCAGAACUCGGUCCCAUUACAGGAGAAGAAGAAGGCACGCAAAAGAAAGACUAAGAAGGGUGCGAGCCAGCCGGCACCGAGUACGAUCCGUGCUCAGGACGGGCCACCUUCACCGCAGGAUAUCUUGAGGAGGGUGCAUGUGGCGGGUAGGGCGAUGCUACCGACAAAUAUGCUCAAUGCUGCAACCGGUGCUAUGCGGAGUCUGCAUGACAGUGUUCUUGCUUUGGAGAAGCGGCGUCUCAGAGAGAAGGAUGUGGCAUACCCGGUUUUCGCGGCCAAGGUGCCAGAGGGCAAGGGCUUUGUGGAUAACUCCAUCGGGCGUACGAUCGUCCUGCGUUUUGAUGACAUCCACGCUAUGUUGAACCUUCAUCCGCUGCACUACACCUUCGUUCGGCUAUUUUCGCUGAGUAUGGAGAUGCGGAUCAUUCGCGACAAGACCCCGGACAUUGUGAUAGUCGACCCCUUCUACAUGCGUGCCAAGAUCUUGGGCAGCGCUGGGGACCGGCAAGUCGCGAGUUCUUACCUCGAAGGCGUCAUUCUGGCAAACCAAGAUAAGGAUAACUUCCUCGUGCCUUACUUUCCCGAGUAAGUCCUCCCCUCAACCGGCCCGUAACAUAUGAAUUCUUACUUUUCGAUCGUUUUUCUUUUAACAUUCCGUGUUUUCUGCAGUGACACACGUUGCACGCUCAUCCUCCUAAGCCCCAAAUAUUCCAUGGCCACGUAUUUCGACCCGGACCGUCAGUCGAACGUAGACUACACAAAUGUCAAGAAGGUUCUUGAUGAUGUUCUCCCCGGCUACGCCCAAUCUGGAGGCACCUUCACCAGGCCUAUUCGUAAGUACGGCAAGCACGUGUUCUCCCACAAUACGAUGUUCUGCUGCAUCAAGCAGCCGCCUGGCGGUCAGAAGGGUGCCUACUACGCCAUCCAUCACAUGCGGGCGAUCGUACGGGACCAUCAUCAACUUCUGCUACCGAGUAAACUCAAAGAUUGGGCCGCGAGCGUGUCGGCAAUCCAGUACGCGGACCUCCGACAAGAAUUCUUUCGCAUCCAGUCGGAGUUUGCGGAAAUCAUCCAUCAAGAUGUCCUUCGUACCUCGGGGCAGUUCUACCUCAGAAAUCAACCGUCCAACAGUGACAUUGACACAAUGCUACAAAUGCAGGAUGACAACGCCCGUUCUUUCAUGACUCCCACGAUAGACGGCGGCUUCAUCCACGCUCCGGUCCCUUGAGUCGAGUUGUCUAGUUCUGAAACAUCGAUUGGCUCAUGUUGUAAUUAAACUUUAAUGAACUUGUAGUAUGUCUCUUUGGUUUCGAGAGUCGUUCAACUUAGAUGUAAUCGAUGCUAUUAAUGUCUUCCUUUUCUCUUCCGAUCGUUCUGUUGCAUAAUUAUAUAUUGCUUAUGUAUUGUCUGUGAAUUGGUCUAACGUUUCGUUUGGCUAGUGCAUAGCGAUGCCGACGUAUGUCGUGUACAAGGGUAAGGUUCCCGGAGUCUACGAUGAUUGGGAGGAGUGUCGGAGACAGGUUCACCGAUUCAGCGGUAACAGUUACAAAGGGUACACCACUAGGGCCGAGGCCGAAUCUAGAUACGCCCGCUAUCUAGCGGGAGAGGGGAGGGAGCGUUGGAGGAACCGGAUGAAGACGAGUUUCAUCGUGAUGAUGCUCAUCGUGAUGACCGCAACUCUCUUCUAUGUGAUGGUAGUUUAGAUGAUCGAUAUCGACUUGUAAUGUGAAGACAAACUCGCUACUCGCGGUCUCGAGACUUGUAAUAUAAUGUUCUAUCUUUGUUCGGUCUUUUUAACUCGGAGACUAAUAUGAUGAAUUGUAUUCGGAGACUAAUAUGAUGAAUUGUAUUCAAAGACUAAUCUUCUAUUGUAUUCGAUGAAUCUGUUGUUGAUGUGUGCUGUCUAUAUUUUGUCAAACUAUACAUUUUGUAACCUGUGCAAAAAACAGAAAAUAAAAAGAUAAAAAAAACCUAAUAUUCAUACUAAUGGCGCAUCACAGGACAGUGCGCCAUUAGUAUGACAGUGCAUACUAAUGGCUAAUGGCGCAUCCAGUGGUGGUGCGCCAUUAGUAUGCCAAAGCACCUGGGUAUACAUGGCCCCUGGGAGGCAUACUAAUGGCGCACGCUGGCCUAUACUAAUGGCGCACCCGCGGUGCGCCAUUAGUAUACCAGAUACUAAUGACGCACCAGGUGGUGCGCCAUUAGUAAAAAUUACUAAUGGCGUGCUGUUAAUGGCGCACCACAGAUGCGCCAUUAAUGGCCAUAUUAGGUGCGCCAUUAGUAGGGGUUUUUCUAGUAGUGGGGCUCUGAAGUCAUCUUGUUUGACUCACCUACUAUGGGAUCACUAGCCCCCUGAGUUUGACCAGUGCUAGGUCCAGGUCUGAAACUUGCCUCAUUGCCAGGAAGAAGAUUGCCUUGCGAGAUUUGUGCUAGCAGAGCAUUAAGCAAUACAUGUUGUUCUUGUAGCAGAUCUUGUCCUCCCUUCCCUUGAGAUCCAGCAGGGUCUCCCUGGCUAGCUCUAGUCUCUUCUUCUUUUCCAUUGCUCUAGCUAAUUGCAAUCUCUCCAUAUUCCGCUUCGCCUUUGGCAGCUGUGUCAUGUCUUGUCUCUUGUCUCUCUUGAAUUCUCCAGUUCUAUCUCCCUCUAGCAAGAUCUCUCCUCUCCUCCCGUGGCAUCUAAUUUUUGUGGUAGUUCUCCCCUUCCUCUUUCCUUCUGUACUACCACCGAUCUCUCUCCCCUCUAUUGAGCCGACCCCCUCCUCCACCAAAUCUUCCUCCGAAUCGAUCCAUGUCUUCUUCUUCUCCCCACGGCGCACUAGUAAACCCUAAUUCUGGUUCCCCUCCCUCUCUGCCUUUUAUAUAUAGGUCCAGGUUGAGAGAGGAGAAAGAACCUGAAAGCAUAUUUUCAUUCCCCGUGUCUCCCUCACUUGGGCCUGGAUGUCCUCGAGUUGGGCUCAGAUCUAGGGCCCAAUUCUCCAAAGCAUCAUCAAAGUUAAUUUUUCUCAUGUGCAUCCUUUUUGUGAUUCUACUGUCAGUAACAAUAUUAAUCUCACAAUUAGGAAUAACCAAAAUAUCCAUGUCUAAGCCUAUCUCAGACCAAAAAUCUGGUAUAUCAUUUUUCAUUCUCAUUUUCUCUAUGACUAAUGCACCAUCCAUAUCUCUAUUUUUUUAGUGUUUUCUGCACUCACUUUCCUUCCCACAUCAUUUGAGUUUUUCUUGUUUUGAUUUUGUUCAUCUAUAUUGUCCAUAUCCUCUGUUUUCACCCUUUUUUUAUUCACAUUUUUUCUACUGCCUUUACUAUGACUAAUAGUCAUUUUGUUUUGGCAUGUAUUCAAAAAGUAUUUCUGUGGCAUGGUAUUCAUACCUCUCGGAUCUGAUGAGACGCCGUCCUCCUCAGCAGACUCCUCCCCAGCCAGCAACCAGAAGCGGUUGCCAGCAGGGGAGAAGCCUAGUCCUCUGCCGCGAACCUGGCCGCCUCUUGAAGGCACGGCGACCCGCCGAGGAAGCCGGGGGACCUGCGCGGAGUGUAGUUCUUCUCCUUCGUUUUCUUCUCUCCGCCUCGCUUCUCCACCAUCUGACUCGAGCUUGCACCCAGAUCCAUCUGCUCUUCCUCUGACUCCCCCUCGUUGUCGUCGAUCUGGAUCGGCACCCAGCGCGUCCCAGGAGUGGGGAUGGCCAUAACCGUGGUUACCUAACUUGGCAUGGGAUGCAGACCCAAACGAGCCGCGAAAAGAAAGCUUCGAGGCACGCCUACAUCAGAUUCAGUACCCACAUAAUAAUCCUCUGGUUCACCUAUAUAUACUGCUUACCGGCUUCGGCCAAAGAUACAUCGAAAACACCUAGGUUUUGCCUCAUCUCGCAACUUGCUCUGCCACCGUAGUCUACUCUAUCCCGAACGUCGGCGUGUGGUAGAGCAGGUUUUCCGAACCGUUCGUCCUUGCGAUCCUGCACUAGGAGAGAACGAAUUAGGUUUUUGGGAAGCGCUAUGCACGACUGCUCAACUUCCUCAUCACGGGUUGUCUUCCGUUCAAGCCGACUACUCAUCAUCGUCUUCAUCGCCGUCGACAAUAGAUCAUCGCCAACAUCGUCAUCAACACCGUCGCUCCUCAGCAACUUGCUCUCAGAAUGGGCCUAGCAAGCCAAUCAGGCCAUCCUUAUUUUAAUUUUAUUUUGAGUCGAUGAUAAAACUCCUUUUAACAGUAUUUGGUUCGAGAUAGAAUCUACACGUAGCUAAUGGUCUCAUCAUCAUCAACUACAGCAAGAAUAAACGUAUCAACCUCAUUCUCAGCUCCCUAAUUAAUACAUUUGAUCCUCGUUUCAUUACAUGCCCAUGCCCGAUCACCAAUAGAUUGAUCGAUCGAGUCAGCUGUUGACGCUGGAGCAGAGCCGCCGGAUCUCGUGGUCGGUGCCGGUAGUAGAUGCCGAGGCUCGUCAACCUGUUGUACGAGUCCGCCCGGCUGAUGAAGAAUAUCUCUGGCUCUGUGCGAAACACCACCACCCAGGACCGCCUCGUGGCAUUCUGCAGUCUGCACUAGCACCGACCAUAUCAUAUUAAUUUCCAAUAUUUGUCAAGUUCCAUCCUUCUCUUGAACUGAACCACCUUGUAAAUACUGGUUUUUAUCUUUAAACUUGCACGUAAAAACAGCGUUACCUACACAAACAUGUCAUUUAAAUAUGUCGAUCUGCUCAUCAUGAAGCAUCAAUUCAUUUCCUGCUCAUCAUGAAGCAGCAAAUCAUUUCCGUGCUAGACCACCCAUCACGUGCGUGCACUUACGGCUGACAAAAGCAUUAACAAAGGUUGGUAAUAUAAACUUCCUUUUCUGGAUCUCCAGAUUCCAUCAACACAUACAUUUGUUGACUUUUCUUGCCAAGAAAACUGCAGAGGCGAAGGCUGAUGAAAAACGAGAGAGGUAGCCAUUUUGUCAGCUAAGUUGAUUCAGACAACGCUCGUGACAAAGGGAGAGGAUGAAAAAUGAUGGCACUAUACACCCUUUUUCAUCCAUUGACAUGUUAUGAGAGCAAUGCGGGUAUUCAUGGCUCCCAUUUUUUCCUAGCUUUUAAAUUGCACACAGAGAAGUAAAAUUGUGCAAAGGACUACUGCUACUACUGAUCAUGGUUGUUUGAAACACGGGAGAGAGAUCAGAAUUCAGAGAACACCGUCGUCACCUGCAAAAAGGACAUAGGAUAGUUAGGAUCGAUCGGUCAUGCCUUCCAGCAUAUUACAUACAAUAAACAAUUGGUGUCGAUCAUGUGGCGGAUGAAAAAUGAACUCUCUUGUGUUGAAUUUCAAUCGUGUUGACAGUAAAGUGUAACAUCAAAGCAAGUGGUUUCCCAAAAUAGGCCUUGGUCAAACAACUAAAAUCAUGUAGAAAAGGCAAUGAAUCACAUAAUAAUGAACUCAUGAAAAACUAAGAAAAUUAUUGAGAAAAGCUCAACCCAAUACCCAUUUUUGUUCUAACAAGGAAAAAUAUGCCACUAAGAAAAUCAAUAACAGUCUAGCUAUUGCAGGUGUCUUGCUAUGUACUAGAACGUCUUACAUUAGUGAACAGAGGGAGUAGCAUGCAAUUGGACAUUGAUGUUUCAUUGAAACAAGUCACGUUCUGUAAGACAAUAAGUUUUGGGGAACCAGCACAACCCUCUAGGGGUGGCUUAUCUCAUUAUAUAUAAUGGUUGUGUUACAAUACGUACAUAAGUACAGAAGCUAUACAUAGUCUAACACCCUCCCUCAAUCUUAGCCACUUUCUAAAGAACUGAGAAGGGUAAGAUUGCGCCUACAAGCCUCAAACUGUGGCAGCGGUAAAGGCUUAGUGAAGAUGUCUGCAAGUUGAUCCUUAGAUGAGAUAAACUUGAUCUGGAGUUGCUUCUGCGAUACACGUUCCCGUACAAAGUGAUAGUCAACUUCAAUGUGUUUCGUUCGGGCAUGAAAUACUGGAUUUGCAGAAAGGUAUGUAGCACCGAUGUUAUCACACCAAAGAAUAGGAGGCUGUGGUUGAGACAAACCCAACUCCUGAAGCAAAGACUGCACCCAAAUAAUCUCUGCAGUAGCAUUAGCCACAGCCUUGUACUCAGCUUCAGUAUUGCUACGUGACACAGUAGCCUGUUUCCGAGCACUCCAGGCGAUCAAAUUAGAGCCAAAGAAUACUGCAUAACCCCCCGUGGAUCGCCUGUCAUCUGGGCUACCAGCCCAAUCUGCAUCAGAGAAGGCCGAAAGGACCCGAGAGGAAGUCGGCCGAAUAUGCAUACCAAAUGUCAGGGUGAACUGAACAUAACGAAGAAUGCGUUUAACAGCAGCCCAAUGAGUAUCUCUGGGAGCCUGAAGAUACUGACAAACCCUGUUAACAGCAUAAGAGAUAUCUGGUCUCGUGAUCGUCAAGUACUGAAGUCCACCAACAAUGCUCCUGUACUCUGUGGCAUCCGCAGGAGACAAAAGCUCACCAUCAACAGCUGUUAUCUUGUCGGUAGACGACAUGGGUGUGGUGGUCGGUUUGCACUUCAGCAUGCCAGCUCUUUGUAACAACUCCAAGGAGUACUUCUUCUGCGUAAGGACAAGACCAGUAGCACGAGAAGUGACCUCAACUCCAAGAAAGUAGUGAAGCUUCCCAAGAUCUUUGACCGCAAAAUCAGCACCAAGAGAGCAGACAAGAGCAUUAGCAGCAUACUGAGAAGAGCUGACAAGGAUAAUAUCAUCGACAUAUACCAAAAGGUACAUAGUGACUUCUGGCUUCUGUAGAAGAAAUAAUGAAGUGUCAGCAGUGGACGGCACAAACCCAUGAGCACGAAGGGCAGAGGCAAGGCGGGCAUGCCAGGCACGAGGAGCUUGCUUCAAACCAUAUAGUGCUUUGGAAAGACAACAGAUAUAGUCAGGACGAUCAGGAUCAGAGAAACCAGGCGGCUGUUUCAUAUAGACCUCUUCCUCCAAAAAUCCAUGUAGAAAAGCAUUCUGCACAUCAAGUUGACGAAGUGACCAACCACGAGAAACAGCAAUGGAGAGAAGAAGCCGAAUAGUGGUAGGCUUGACGACAGGACUGAAGGUGUCCUCAUAGUCAAGACCAUGACGCUGCCGAAAACCGCGAGCAACAAGUCACGCUUUGUAACGCUCAAUAGAUCCAUCCGAAUGCUUCUUCACUUUGAAUACCCAUUUUGAGUCAAUAACAUUUACCCGUGGUGGUGGAGGAACGAGAGUCCAUGUCUUGUUACGAAGAAGAGCAUGAAACUCCUGCUCCAUAGCCUCUCGCCAAUGUGGAAUGCGCAGGGCAGCCUGAUAUGAGCGAGGCUCAGAAGAUGGAUCCGCAACAGCAGCAGCCAAACAAGCAGCCAACCAAGCAACCGUACCAUCCUUACGUUCCUUAGGUUUGAAAAUGCCACUGCGAUUGCGUGUAUGUGGUCGGGACACAGGAACCACCGAGGUCGAUGGAGCAGCCUGCAAUGGGUUGGAGGACGGCGACGUUGACGAGUUAGGCGGUGACGAGGAGCCAGUCACGGUAGCCUCGGACUCGGUCGACGAAGAAGGCCGGCCCACCGGCGAAACCGGCAGAGCAGACGAAGCAGCUGGCGACUCCGGCAUCACAGACCGGGCCGUUGGCGAGCUCGGCAUAGUGGGCCGUGGCGCGGCCGGUGUCGCGGGCCGAUCUGCGGAUGAAGGCGACGUGAGGACCCGAGCCGCGGGCGAAGACGGCGUGACGGGCCGAGCCGCAGGCGAAGACGGCGUGACGGGUCGAGCCGCGGGCGACUCGGCGGCCGCUGGCGAAAAAGGCCGAGCCGCUGGAAACUCGGCGAUUGCUGGCGUAGCGGACCGAGCAGUGGAGAUGCUCGGCGCGACGGGCUCAUCGGGUGACCAUGCAUGAGCACGCGAAUCGACGCCAUGCAACAUAGGGCGAUCGACGUGCCCACCAGAAGACGACGACGAUGAUGGUGAAUCCUCCAACAGCUCCAAACGAGCUCCACGUCCGGUUCCUGCACCAUGGUUAGGUAACAGCAAAGGAGAGUAUGCAACAUCAUCAAAUUGGUCAGAAGCAAUAGAGGAUGAAUGCAGGGAUGGUGGUUCGACAGUAGACACAGGAAGGCUGGCAAAGGGAAAAACAUGCUCAUCAAACACGACGUCCCGAGAUAUAUAGACACGAUUAGUGGGAACAUGAAGACAUUUGUAACCUUUAUGAAGAGAGCUAUAGCCAAGAAAAACACACUUCUUAGAACGAAACUCAAGCUUGCGCUUGUUAUAUGGACGAAGAUGCAGCCAGCAAGCACACCCAAAUACCUUGAGAAAGGUAUAAUCAGGUUGUUCAUUAAGGAGAACCUCAAUGGGAGUCUUCAUGUUUAAAACACGAGUAGGAGUACGGUUGAUGAGAAAGCAUGCAGUGGUGAAAGCAUCACUCCAAAACCGAAACGGAACAGAUGCAUGGGCCAAAAGAGUAAGACCAGCUUCAACAAUAUGACGAUGCUUACGUUCGACUGAACCAUUCUGUUGAUGUGUAUGUGGACAUGCUAAACGAUGAGCUAUCCCAAGCGACUGAAAGAAAGAGUUGAGGUUGCGAUACUCGCCCCCCCAAUCCGACUGGACAUGAACAAUUUUGUGCUUGAGAAGACGUUCAACAUGUUUUUGAAACUGAACAAAAAUAUCAAACACAUCAGAUUUGCGUUUAAUAAGGUAAAGCCAGGUAAAGCGACUAUAAGCAUCAACGAAACUGAUAUAGUAAUUAUGACCACUGACAGAAGUCUGAGCAGGACCCCAUACAUCUGAAAACACAAGUUCUAAAGGAUGUUUCACCUCACGACUGGACUCCAAAAAAGGAAGUUGAUGACUCUUCCCCUGCUGACAAGCAUCACACACUGCUACAUCUUUAUUACUAGACAAACUAGGAAGCUCAUGACGACGCAAAAUAUGACGGACAAUAGGUGUGGCCGGGUGACCAAGACGAGCAUGCCACUGUGACGGAGAGACCCAAACUCCACUGAAAACGCGAGCGACGCCAGGAUGCUCCAGACGGUAGAGGCCCUGGCACAACCGCCCACUAAGAAGAAUGUCCCUCGUGCCCCGAUCCUUAAUAAAAAGAUCAAAAGGGUGAAAUUCACAAAGAACAUUAUUAUCAUGUGUGAGUUUAGGAACUGAAAGAAGAUUACGGGUCACAGAUGGAACUCGAAGAACAUUGCGAAGCUGAAGAUUCCUAUUGGCAUGUCUAGUGAGAAGAGAUGCUUGACCAAUAUGAGAGAUGUGCAUACCUUCUCCAUUGGCGGUGUGGAUCUUGUCGGAGCCAUGAUAGGGUUCACGAGUGUGAAGCUUCCCCAUCUCGCUGGUCAGAUGCUCUGUCGCCCCAGAGUCCAUGUACCAGUGUGGAUCGAUGGAGUAGGACUGAGUGUGUCCCUGUUGCUUCUGCGGCGCGGGACGAUCAGCCAUGGCGACCUGACGGGCAUUGUUGCGUGUAUCUUUGCCGUCAUUGCCAAGACCAAGGAAGCUUCGCUGGAAGCGCUUAUGACACUUGGAGGCCCAGUGCCCAUCGCGGCCACAAAGCUGACACACACGUGGACCGCCAGCCCCCGGUAAGGUCGCAGUAGGUGGGGGGGGGGGCCGAGGCGGGCGACGGUGGCAGCCCCAAGGGAGACCGGGGUGAUGAAGAAGAGCGGCCACCCUUGGUGGCGGCGUUGGUCGAGAGGGAGCCAGUGCCCCUGGUGCGGCGAGUCUCGACCCAUUGCUCAGUGAGAAGGAGCCAAGAGAAAACCUCGUGUGCCAGCAUGGGUGUCGAGUUGCCCCGCUCGUUGAUGAUCUCGACUAAGGCAUCAUACUCCUCAUCAAGACCAUUGACAAUAAACGAGUUGAACUCGGAGUCGGUGAGGGGCUGUCCAAUGGAGGCCAAUGUGUCGGCGAGGCCCUUGACCUUGUUGUAGAACUCAGUGGCAGUGGAGUCAAGCUUCUGACACUCUCCAAGCUGACGACGGAGUGCAGAGACACGAGCCUGGAACUGCGCUGCAAAGGUGCGCUCAAGGAUGGUCCAGGCCUCAUGAGACGUCUUCGCGAAGACAACAAGGCCGGCAACUGCCGGCGAGAGCGACCCCUGGAUGGAGGAGAGAUUCGCCUGGUCCUGCCCCGUCCAGACGCGAUGGGCCGGAUUGUAGACCGGACCGUGCACGCUGUCUACCAACGCGGGUGGGCAGGGAAGCGAUCCUUCGACGUAGCCUAGCAGGUAGUGACUCCCCAAGAGCGGGAGAACCUGCGCACGCCAGAAGAUGUAGUUGUCGGCGGAGAGCUUGAUGGUGAUGAGAUGACCGAAGUGAAACGGCGGCGGCGAAGACGAUCCCAUCGAGGAGGCUGCCUGGGGUGCAAACACCAUGGAGGCAGCCAGAGGCACCAAAGCCGAUGCGGGAGGAGGCGGGACCGCAGCCAGGGCGGGCGCCGCAAAGCUCGCGGCCGGUUCGGACGCCGCAAGGCUGGCGGCCGGGGCGGACGCCACCAACCCCGCCAGUGGGGCGGUGUGAUCCGCUUGCGGCAGGAGCGGCGGGACGACGCCUGCGGAGUCCGCAGCGGACGGCGGCGCCGCGGUGUGGACUACGAGGUCACGCCCAAGCGAGGGCGCCGGCGGCGUGGAGAAGACGGAGCCGAUGCUCCUUGUCCCGAUCGGAGCCGGAACGGAGACGGCAUCGAGCGGGAGGUUGAGCAGAGCCGCAAGAGAGGCCGGGAGGAAGCCCGCAGCAGUGGAACCGGUGGUGGCGGCGCUCGACAUGGCGGCGGCGCAAUCGGUGGCGCGGCGGCUGCGGUGAAGGCGGCGGCGGCUGCGGCGGCGGUGCGGGUAUUAGGGUUUAGAAGCGGAAGCGAUCGUAACCUAGCGUGAUACCAUGUAAGACAAUAAGUUUUGGGGAACCAGCACAACCCUCUAAGGGUGGCUUAUCUCAUUAUAUAUAAUGGUUGUGUUACAAUACGUACAUAAGUACAAAGCUAUACAUAGUCUAACACGUUCUGAAGCUGAAUGUUCCAUAAAUCAUCUGAAAUUUCCACCUAAGAUUUCAGACAGCAGACAAGACUCUUUGCACCUAAAUUUCCAAAGGGGGGAAGCGUGAGAAAUUAAGGCAUGCAUGUGCAACAUAUGUUGAACUGGUUGGUGUAAUCAUCCACCUUUUUGCCUUAACUAGUUACUAUCUGCCGUGAUGGUCAUGGCGAUCACCCCCCGGGUCAUCAGACUCACUUCAGUUAAGUAUCCUUUACAAGAAAAGAUCACCCCCUUUCCACGCUGAUGAUGAUUCAGAUAGCAUGUUACAUGCAUGUGUUUUCUAAAAAGAAUUGAAGAAUUGUUUGAGCCAACCAUAAAGCUAGCUGUACUGCUACAUCCCACCCACAACUCAAAACUUGCUGUUCAUUUUCUCUGCUGUUGGCAUCACUGAACGACCUAGCACUGAAUUCCCUAGAUGAAUGCAUAGCUAGGUAGAUUGUUUUGUUUCAGACCAAGAAAUAGCCAGAAGUUAUAACCUACGUACUGUCUAAACUCUAGACCCAUUUGUUUGCAUUGCCAAACUAGUACCGACAGAGAUCCACAUUAUUUCAUCAAGGUAAUUCAGAUUACCGCCCGCACAAGGUCAAGCACAGCCGGGGGGUCGCUUCCAGCACCUCGCGCCAGCGCCGUCACCUUAGGACCUCGUGGCGGCGUCCGUGGGGCCGUGGGGAGCGGGCACUACAACCAAGCCCAGGGGGUUCGCCUCCAGGACCUCGUGGCGGCUGCGCCGCCUCCCAGGUCCUUGCGACGGCGCCUCCCUCUCGCGAGAUGGGUUGGACGAGAUGCGAGGGAUUGACGGAGCGAAUUGACAAAGUUCCUAAAAAAAAACAGGACCAUAAUGACUUUAUUGAUUAAACAUAAUAUUUUUAAUUAACAUGUUAAAAUCAACGGUGGGAAAUAAUCAAAGGGGGAGUUACAUGAAAUUACAUAUGGUAACUCGCCAAUCACCGUAAAAGAGCUCCUAACUAAGACGAUAGAGUCUGUUCUAAGUCAUGUGUUGAGCGAUAUUUGUGCAGGCCAUGGAAGUUGUUGAUUUAGAUCAGCAAACUAAAAUGGACGCUGAUCUUGAUGGGCAUGUGAUGUGCUCUAUAUCUGAUGAAAAUGGAAACCGCACUAUGCAGAAAUGCACUGGGUACAUGCUAACAUUGCUCGCCAUGUGAUGUGCUUUCUAUGUGAUCAAAAUGGAAACCACGAUAUACAGAACGCACUGAGAACAUCUCGCAGAAUGCCAUCCAGUUCACUUCAGCAUUUCAACUUUAUAUAGCAAAGUUCUGGUGCUAUCGAUUCAUCCAAAUGGACGUUGAGUGAUACAUGUAUGCUUGUAGUGGUAUAUUGUGGUACACUCGCCUUACCAUUUUCACUUGGUACAGAGGAUGUCAGAGCACUCUGACGAUCCUACAACCUAGCAAAUAAUGAUGUAUGAGGUCUCCCAGUCUGUUUGUUUGCUUGCUUGCGAGUAGAGACAAGUAUGAUAACUACGUUGUCUAGGUUAGUGACAAACAAAUUUGGGAAGAUAUUAUUCAUAUACUAUUUCUAUUGAUGGUCGCUUUUCAAUGGAUUAUCACCUUCUCUGUGGGUACCUGUUUUCGGAACAAAUUAUUGAAACUAGUCCACAUCUCAUGACGUAUGGACUUGAUAAAAGUUUUCUUCCACGUGACGGUUGAUUCAUGGAAAUCAAGUAUUAGCUAUUUCAUGCAAAACACAAGCCACAGGGUUAUAUCGAACUGGUCCAAAUGUUCAACAACUAUAUGCAAGGUCCUUGAUUCCUGCAAAAAGAAAAAGGUCCUUGAUAUUUUUCUUAAACUGGAAUAGAACCACAUGAGCACUUAAAAUCGUAACAUGUAAUGCCACUCGGUUCCUGCACGAAAAAAUGUCAUUUUCAGUUUGGGAAUGAUUUUCCAUACCCAAACCUAAUUGAAACAGGGGCGAAUAUAAUCCAACGGAUCGUACGCGAGGAGUUGGACGGUAUUGCAGGUCACCGAUCUGGCUUUUGCGCCGAGGUGACCUGGCUUUUGCGCCGGACGAUCGGCGUAGAGCGCUGCCCUAAUCUUUUUUAGUAUAUACUAGAGUAUAAGCAACCCCCUAACCUAAUUGAACCGGACAACUAAUCCCCUAGCCGUGCUUCGCAGGCCGGUUCAGAUGACGUUGACUGUUAUGUACUCAUUGGCACAUGGGAGGUGUGAUACUGACAUGGAAUAGGAAGCGGGCACUACUUCCAUUUCUCUUGUAUGCAGCUCUCUCUGCAACAUUUCUCCUGUAGCUGACGCAAGCAGCCAUGGCCCCUCAUACUGCUGGUGCCGGUACGUCAAGCCGAUACAGGAGCUCUCCAACAAAGAACUUGCCGCACCGACCAUGUACCACCACCCGACGCCCGGUCGGACGUCGUGUAAAACGGCUAUGAAGGUGGGCACGUCCCGGACCUGAGUGGCCUACUCCUAGUGAGCGCACUGUCCUAUUCCGUCUCCUUCCGUGAUCUCCCGUGCCCUGUGGCCUGCUCGUGCCGCCCGCGGUGGUACUGCUCACCGCCGCCGCAGUAGCGGAUGACCCUGAGCCCCCGCGUGCGCCACCUCUGUUGGACGCAGUGCGUCCCUGGGAGUCGAACGCGCUGGUCACAUGUGUUCUCUCUCUCGAUGGAGGUGAGACUAUGAGAGUGAGACACAAAUACCUGGCAAAAAGAAGAAGAAGAAAAUGCAAGGAAAGAAAGCGCAGAGAUGUUCAGAGCGUUUCCCUUUAUUGAAUCAAUCAACACCACACUCGAUUAUGACUGACGACUCUCGAUUAUAAGUCCUAAUUGAAGCACCCAUUAACCAACUAAACCACCAUGAUUCAACUAUACAACCACCAUUGCAUGCGAAGCCAAUUGAUAGUACAUUAAUACUAUUUAUUUACCCAGUUCUACGUACGAUCCAUGGCACUCCAGUCCACCCAGGCAGCAGCAGCACACACCGAAUCCAUUCCACCAAGUCCCAAGGUACUUCCGCGACUCCGCCUGCGUCUGCCAUCUUCACUGCUACACCUGCACCACAGCGGGAGGCGCCAUGUGUACCACUAUCUGCGGCGGCGGCGGCGGCGGUGGGUGGACAUCCUCGCCGUCGUCGCCAGGAGCCCAGCAGCAGCGGUAAACCAAGCAUGCGAAGCAGGCUAGCACGAAGGCAGCAGCUAAGCUGAGCAGAACUAUGAGGAGAGUGGAGGAGCGGUGUGCGGCAGGCGUAGGCGGCGGCGGUACCGGGGUGUGGAGGAGGGGAUCUCGGUCAUCACGUGGGGCCUCGCCGCCGGCAGUGGUUAGGAGAAGGAGGAGGAGGACAGGGAUGAUGUACUUGUGCGCCGCCAUUGCGGAGGUUGGGUGGGUCGAUCGCCGGCGGCAGCUUCAAAGGUGAGAGCUGUGGCCGAAUGCGCGGUCCCUUUAUAUAAGGAGGGAAAGGGAAAAGUCUAGAAGAAAGCUCUGCCAUGUGGGCCCAAUCGGCAAGAGAGACAUAUAGUGUGAGCAAAUAACCACUAGGACACCUCGUCAUGGUCAAGUACUGAUCAAAGAAAACCACUUCAGUUCUGGAGAGGGAGCAAAGUUGUCCGAUAAAAAGUUGCAAAUGCAACUUGUCCAGUUUUAGAAUUCAGAGAGUAAAGAUACUAGUAAAUUACCUGCAAAAAAAAAGAGAGAUGCUAUUAAGUUACACGUGCCUUGCACGUGAGAGUGGUGUGACCAGAUAUCAACAUACAACAUUAUAAUAGGCAGACAUAUACAUUUUGAGUCACACACAAAUGAAUUUAAGAUGUAGGUUUUAGUAUCAUCGCCCAUCCCAUUCGAAAUCACAUUAUAACUACAUAAUAUUUGAUGAUUGUGUGUGAUAUACUACACAAACGCCUGUGAAAUUUAUAAGAACAAUUGAUGAGUACUCCAUUGUAAAGAAAAUUGGACUUUGGAAAGAUACUGCAUUAGCUUUGGAAAACAAAUUAAAGUAAAAAUAAAUGGCAAUUCGUUUGGAAGAGAAAAACUUGAAGAGCUGAAGUAUGAAGAGUCUAUAACAAAUGAGAAGAGUAUGUGUUAUGUGUAUAUUGUACAACAUAAAUGAUGUAAUAAACAUGAAUGGCAAUUCUUUUAACAAAGAAAAACUUGAAGAUUUGAAAUACCAAAGAGUCUAGAAUUAUCUUUGUUUUUAGGUUUGUGCAUAAACACAAGUGUGGAAUAUUGUGGAUUAGUAUAUGUGCCAAAAUCCAGUGUGGUGGAGAGAAUAUAUAUCCAAUGGCCAAGGCUACUUGGAUUUGCCUGCCCUCAACCAUUGAAUCGGCUUCAUCCAACAUAUGAUAUUCAAAGUUAUCCGUACACUAUAUAGUGGUAUAUACAAAUAGGCCAUGCGGCUUGUAUCUCUCAAGUAGUUCCAUAGUCUCCUCCUCGGAGCAACCGAUGGGGGACACCAAUCACUAGGCAAAGUUGGUGUGCAACCCCGAGCAUGCCUGAAUAGCACCAACAAGCUGCAACGGUGGAUAGCUCCUCCUGAUCUAGGCGGCAGAAGACAACAACUUCAUCUGCAUAAAGUGUGACAGUCAUCAAGUGGAAAGGGUGUGAGACGACGAAGCAACGCUAAGUCCCUCUCUCUACGGGACAACAUAUGAGAGUUUCGAACCAAAACAAGAUAUGGGAGAGGGGGUCACCCACCUAAAGGCCCGAGCGAAGAUAAACCAGUGGCACUGACUCCCCGUUGAGCAUCACGCUAGUGCUACCCAAGGACAGGAGGAUGUCAACCUACUAGCAAAAGUGAGGGCUAGACCCAACACUGCAGAGCACCUCAAAGAGAAGAGACCAUGGCACAAAGUCAUACACGGGCGAUAUCCAACUUAAGCAUGGUACGUGGCUCCCCCAACCAAUGUAGGUAUCAUGUCAUCUGCUAAACCAUCAUGAAUUAUCAUGUAUGCAAUGUUUCUUGAUGAACAUGCAUUGGCUCUCGUCAACCAAGGAUCCCAACCUCGUCGACAACCUAGCGCUCAAUGUCUUCGCCACCAACUUGGCGAAGGUGUGGAUGAGACUAAUGGGGCGAAUAUCCCAGAGGGCGGAGGCUUUCAAACACUUGGGCACCAUGACUAGUGGGUACAGAAACAGAAAAUUAAGAGGAAAAAAAUUGUAUGAUGAAUUUUCUUUAGAAAAGGAGGUUAAACCCUCGACCUCUGCAUCAAUAGGUGCAUAGAGCCAUCUUUAUUAAUUAUUCCACGAAGGUCUAGCAAGAACGUACAUCAAGCAACCCAAAGCCACCACUCACACCUACAAACUUCAUAAUGUGGAGUGCUCGCACUCCUCAUAUCUAUAACCGAUGUCGUCGCCGACCCAUCCAUGUAACAUAUCAGAACCAACAACCGGUGCAGCAGAUCUAAAGCGUACACCACAUGCACACGUGUCACCAUCAUCAUCGAACCAUUGUCUCAUCAUCGGGAGAGAGAUCCGCAUCAUCCUUGCCAGUCCAGCCAUCUGUCGACGCCACCACGGCGCCCAAUGACGCCACCGCUCUGCGCUCGUCCAUCCCGAUGCGAAGAUUAUGAAAGAUCUGCCGUGUGUGGCACCUACCGAAUAGGCAUGACACAUCGUAGCAUCUGUUGGCUAUGCAUGACUUGACAUCUCCACCGAAGCUCCGUUCAAGACGAAGCUGCUCCACCUCCUACCUUUGCCUUCCAGCGCAGCUCCACAAACUAUGCUCCCAAGAGAAAAUGACACCGUAGUGCCGUCAUCGUUCGAUCGCGAAGACCAGAUCCUAGGGUUUCCCCCGGAGCAGUACGAGUGGGGUCGACAGUAGUUACACAAUGAUGCCUUCAUCAAGGUAACGACGUAGAACACUGCCAUCGCCUGCCGUCGGCUCAGUUUUCACCGACAACUAUGUCUACCCGACUCACAGUCAGAACUAGAUGGCGGAUGUCGAGAUCCGACCACCCCGCCUUCGGCCGACCACCUCCGACGGAGGAGAUGACCACCACCACCAUCGGCUGCACCGCCCAGAAUAGAUCUGACCGGAGGUGCCGACGCGUAGUCCAACAGGCCUUCCACGCCGCUGCCGAUCCGAAGCCAGAUUGUGCACCGCCGCAGCAUAGCCAGUCGCCGCUACCAACUGCAUCGCGUUGCCGCCUGAAAUGGGCCAGCCGCCACCCGCAGUCCCGAGCGCCUGUAGCAACAGGCGUCCGAGGCAGGCCGGCCAUCGCCACCAUCACCGCAGCCAUCGCCACCGCUUUGUUGGGUCCGCUGCACCUCCAACGUAUAGGGGCACCGCACCACCCCUAAAAUGCAGGACUGUGGGAGAGAGGGAGUCCCCCGCCACCGCCGUCGGCCCUCGGACGUCGCCAGGUGGCAUCCCCCAGCGUCGACGGAGGGAGGGGAGGCAGGAGUGUGCGCCCCCGGCGGCUAGGGUUUGGGCGCCUCCUGAGACGCCAUGGCGGGGACAACUCGGGGCCUACCUGGUGGCCUUUCCCGAAUGGGAACUCCUUGAGAAAGAUGGGAAUUGUCGUGGAAUUAACACGCCAGAUGUCCUAGUGAGAGGACUUAGUCGUGGAGCCAUCACAACUAGAUUAGCUUAAAGGGGUUAAACCGGACAAAGGACACGGGGAGUUUAUACUGGUUCGGCCCCUUGCGGUGAAGGUAAAAGCCUACGAUCUAGUUGUGGUGGAAUUGAUGGGGUCUCGAUGAUUAGGGAGCGAAUCCGCUUUGCAUGUCUCUCGAUUUGUUGUUUCUUGUCCCUCAAUCGCCGCCGGGUCGUCCCUUUAUAUACACAGGUUGACGCCCGGCAGUUUACAGAAUCCCGAGGCCGGCUCAUACUUGUGUCCGGCUCGGUUUCUACCUUUUCCUAUCUUAUUGUACAAGUUACAUAUCUCAUGGCGGUUUAUGUCUAUGGGCCCUAAUUCGCCCUUGGGCUUUGGGCCUCUAAGUCUCCGUAGUAAAGCGCCAUACCCCUUGUCUUCAUGGGCUUCAAUACGGAUGAUUCCUUGUGAACAUAACCCGACCCCUCCUGGGCGGUUUAUACUCAGUAGUUAUAUCCCCAACAUUAGGCCCCACAUUGAUUUGAACAUGUUCAUGUCAAUCUUCAAUACUUAGAAAAACUCCUUGAGUAUCUUCGUAUGAACCUUGUAAACCACCAUGACAUCAUCUCCAUAUGAACUUGGUAAACUGCCGUGACAUCAUCUUUCAAGAUUGUAGUAAAUCCCCAUGACGUCACCUCCUUAUUAAAAACCUAUAAAUACUUCCCUUUUAUUAAUGAACCUCCGAAAACCAAGGCGACAGCUGUGUCACAUAUCCAUUUUUUGGGUUCCUCGAUUCCCGCGCCUGUCACUUAUCCCUUCGCCUUAUAAAUAGAACCAAGGGCCAUUCUUUCUUUUCCCCUUCGUGCCCUUUUGCCUCGUCGUCUUCCUUGUGUCGCCUCAGCGCUCGAACACAGCCGCCAUCGUCGACCUUCGCCUCUGCACCAACAACGGCCGCUGCAUCAACCUGAUCUGACAAGAGAAACGCGGCGCCUCUCCGCUACUCCUUCAACCUCUGUAAGUUUUCUUCUUCACCUCAGAUCUAUCAUUAGGGUUUCGUUAUUCUUCAGUGUUCUUCAGUGUUCGUCAAUGUUCAUUGCUGCACCUUGAGGCCACAUAAGAACUUGAUAAAUCUUGAUAUUCCUCCUGUGUGGCCAUAGCUAUAGCCCAUUUUUCCUCAUCAUAGCAUCUCUUCUUCAGAAAACAGAUCCCAACAUGUUUUUGAUUGUUCCGCUGUCACCACUCAGGGCUAUGGAAAUUUUCUCCGUUUUAGAACUGUGGUAGAUCCAAAAUCAUAACACCAACUUGUGAAACCUGUUUGUGCAAUACUUAGGAAUUUCUCAGAUCUGUAGCUUCCGCACUAUUGUAGGCGGUUUAACCUUUAAAAGAUGAUAACCCGCCAGGUACCAUUAGCCCUCUCUUAAACCGCCAACUCAACCUCAACGUUAAACAAUCUGGUUUAUUAUGCAUGUAUGCUUCAAUUUCUUCUUCCUUCUGUCCUUAGGUCGGUUUAUCUACAUUAGUCACGGAUCUUUGAACCGGCAUUGAUCCUUUUUUCCAGCUUUCCAUUAACAUGGACAAAACAUUCUAUGCUUGCAAUUGGGUUCCUUCCCGGGUCACUAAAGAACAACUCACUGGGUAUGUUUUGACUGGCGCUUUAGCGAGCCAAGAAACCAUUCAUUGGAGGGUUCUCGGUUCAGAAAAUCCUCCUGAGCCCCAGAAUGGAGAAGUGAUUGUAUUUACUGAUCAUCUGAAUCAAGGGUUCAGCCCGCCCAGAUCAAAAUUCUUUCGCGAUGUGCUUGCAAGCUUCUAGAUCCGCCCUCAAGAUAUUGGACCGAACUCCGUGUCCAAUAUAUGUAAUUUUCAAGUAUUUUGCGAAGUCUAUCUGCAACAGGAACCCACUUUGGAACUAUUCCGGGACUUUUUUUUACUUAAACCACCAUACUGAAUUUACAGACGGGCCCAACACUGAACUCGGGGGCAUUUCAAUCCAGAAGAGAAAGGAUGUUGACUUUCCUCACGCCAAACAUCAUAGCCACCCCAAGGACUAGAAUCAGACUUGGUUUUACUGCCGCAAUACAGCUCCAGACAAUGAAAAUCCUUUGCCGGGUUAUUGUGCAUACCAGCUUCCCAAAACUCAUCCGGUUCCUCAGCGACUAACUGCCAAGGAACGAUCAAGUUAUGCCCCUCAGCUAGCAAAACUCAGAGCUUUUGUGGCCAAUGGUCUGACAGGCAUUGAUUUCGCUCGAUGCUGGGUGUCUUGGAGCUUUUGCCUUUAAUACGGCGCCCCGGUUUAAUGUGUGCAUACACAGGGGAUCUAAAAGACCCUCAGCGUCAUAUUGACAUCCAUCUCACGGAUGAUGAAGUCACCGAAGCUGUCAAGAAAAUGCUUGAUGAACCGGUGGUUGCAUGUAGCAGAGUAGGGCUUAGCCCCUUCUAUGCGUCCAACAAACCGCCAGCUGUAAGAAUUGUCUUAUUUUUGCCUUAAUCCAUCCCUUCUUAAUCAUUCCUUUAUACUUGUUGUCCAUCUGCGCAGGGUGAUGAUCCGUUCUGGAAGAGGAAAGCACAGGAUAAACCGGCAAGAGCUCCUCGCGUCAAGACCAGGGUUACGAAGAAGCCCACAAAGAAAAGAACUGCCAAACCCUCUGACUUGCCCAAUGACGAAGAGCUCGCUGACCCGGAAUCAGAGGUAGAACUUGACUCUCUUGGUUCUUUUUCAUACACCUCAUUGACAAUGAUUAUUAUCAGGAUGAUGCGGAAGCUAGCCACGCUGGUGAUGUAGAGGUAAUUGUUCUAUCCUCCGACUCAAAUCAUGUGCCAGUACCAAAACUUCGUCGAGCAGUCCAGAAAGUAAAAUAUUCACACCCUCUUGCUUAUUUGGAUCCACACUUUUCUUUGAAGACACAACAGCAAGAAGCUCGCCGCACAACCCGGCACAGUGGUCAAGUGGUUACCUCCUCCGGUUUACCAUAUUCUCCGGUUCGCAAACGCCGUUAAGAGGUCUCUUGUUCUUCUAAUACAAUUUGUCCCAAGGCGGGUUACUUCCGAUAUCCUCUUAAUCCAUAUGAUUCGAAUUAUCAAGGAACCUCCCAUUCAUCCUCCGGCGAUUCAUCAACCACACAGAUGCCUCCACUCAAGACCAUUCCUGGGUAAGGAUACUAUACUUAAUUUUUAUGCCUUGCACUGGUUUAUUGUACUAACCUCUGUGUUUAUUCUUUUUAGUGCCAAAGCCAGACUUAGCAAGAAAGCCAAGCUGACUAUACCAGCUGAUGAUAAUCCGACCACUGAACCAGAAAGGACCUCAAAGGCUCUUGAUCAGAAUGUUGACAUUACUCUGGAUGAUCCGGUACCUCAGGGUCAGGAUACUUUUGUUGAACCGGCAUAAAUGAAUCCAACGAGCCAAUCUGCUGACCCACCAAGCCCAACUGCCGAUCCACCAAGCCCAGCAAGGAAAUCUGCUAAACCGCCAAGCCCAGAAAAAACUGUUGAUGGCACCACAGAUGAUGUUGUGAUUACCGGCUUUGGCCAUACUGCUCCUGGCAACACUGUCGCUUUAUCAAAAAAUAGUGCCAAGGAAGAAUUUUCUGAUGUGGACAAGGGCAAGUGGAAAACAGAUUUGUCAAGCUAUGCCCACCUCUCUGCUCAGGACAUUCACUCUUGAUAUUUCAACCGUCCGUAUACAAGCCGUGACUAUGAAGCCGGUUUAGUAGGUCUAAUGAAAGAGCGAUAUGAGGUAAAUAUCCAUUCCUUUGCACAAGUUCCUUUUCCUUAGGAACUGCUUCAAUUAUCAACUCCAGUAGCCCCCAAGGGCCGGUUUAUACCUUUAGGAUGAACUGGCACCUUUCUUGUCAUGUAGUAUUCGGUUUAUUGAUAAAAACUUGAUAACCUUGAAUUGAUCCGGUAUGCAUUAGCCCCCAAGUGCCAAGUAUAUAACUUGUUAUGUGCUUGGGACUUAAAAUAUCAGUUGAGAAAAAGCAAUCCGCAUUGGCCCCCAAGUUCCAAGUAUAUUACUUUUUAUGUGCUUGAGACUUUCAAAAAGUAUAACCAACUUAUUAACUGUCUCUUGCAGGCUGACUUGACCAACAAAGAUUCUUAAAUCGCUGACCUCCAAGAAAACAUCAAGUCCGAGCAAGCCGAAACUUCAAAGGCCAAAGAGGAGCUGAAGGGCGCUUUAACAGCCAUGGAACAAUUGAAAGAUGGCUUCAAAGGUGAGCGAGCAGGUUUGGAGGCUGAAAAAGCAACGUUGCUAAAAUGGGUGGAGGAUGCUGAAGCGGCCCUUAAACCGGUAACAGAAGAGCUGACUGGCCUAAAGCAGCAAAUCAACGCUAUGACUUCUGUUGUCUUUGGUAAAUACCCUUUUUAUGACCUGUACUUAAUCAUCCUUGAAACCGCCGGUUUAACAAUAAUAUUGUAACCAUUGCAGGUAGCUGUGUUGCCCAUCUCGGUUCAGACAUGCGCAAAAAGAUGAAGGCUGCCUAUACCUUGAUAGAGCAGGUAUAUACCGGCGCGGGUCAUCUGCACAGCUUCGUACAAUAAACCGCCCCCAUCUUUAAUCAAGGAUACAUUGGCCAAGUUAUCCAUGAUGCCUACCCAGCUCGAGGAGGUAAAGAGAUCAGCUGCAAGGGCUGGCGCUUUGUCCGCAUUGACUCGGGCCAAGGCCUGGAUAGCUGAUCUUGAUCCGGAGGAUAUUGGAAAUGGCUAUCCCAGCCAAAAAGAAGAUGGGUCAGACUUUCACAAUGACGCCCUCAGGGUUUUAACAAAGGAAAUGUGUCCACUUGCAAGUAAGCUGGCUGAGGAGACUGAUUUGUCUUUGCACUAGUAGAUUUAUGAUGCAGACAAAAGACGGAUUGAUGCGUCGGUUUAUGAUGCACAAAAUCUUAUCCCGCCAAUCCGUAAGCAUACUUAUGCCCCUGAUGUUGAACCGUCCGAUCUUAUAAGCGACGAAGCUAUCUUCCGAGCUUUAUCUGGGAUUGACUGGGCAACCAUUGACUUCCAGCCACUGGGUGGGGAGGCGGAGGGUGAACCGGCGCAGGAUGAUCCGCAACCUUCACAUCAACCUGAGGAAGAAUCAUAAUUCGGAAGUCGGUUUAUCGUCUGCACACUGUCAUCCUUGUGAAAAACAAUUAUCCUUUUGGGCAGUCAAAAACGCCUUGUAAUAGGCUAGCUUAAACACUUGGUCUGUAUGCCAUCGUGCAUAGCCACUUUGCCUGAUACUGUUAAUCUGCCAUGAUAUGCAUUAUCUGCUUAUGAUCCUUAGCAGUUUUAUGCAAUCCUGUUUCUGCAUAGAAUAAACUGAAAAAUUGUCCUGGCGGCUUACCACCGGACGGGUCAUAAUGCCCAAUAUAAAGCCAGGGUUUAUAACCAAGGCUGUAAAACAAUGAAAUAUGAAAUACAUCAAACUUGUGAUAUUAAUCACAUCGUUGGUUUACCAACUUUCUUGUAGGAAGGGUGAUAACCCAAAUCUUGAGUGUUGUUAACUCCCACAAUGCUGUGCUGGUUUAUAAUAAGCCAUGACGGCUUAUGAUAAACACCGGAUGAUCAUCCUGGCGACUUAUAGUCAAUGCCAGGCCGGGUUAACAAACACCAGUUUAUAAUUGGUUGUGUACGAACUACUUAUAGUCGAAAGCCACCCCGGGUUAACAAACACCGGGUUAUAUUGAAAAUUUAUGGUCAGGCCGGGUCAAUAGACGCCGGUUUACCUCAAAACCUUAUCAAAGUAGAAAAAACUUUGUCAAAUAAAAGCAAAUGAAAACUUGUAGUCGAGGCUUUUCAGGGGCUGCCAGGCUCAAAUUCGAGGCUUUUCAUGGGCUGCUAGGCCACUGAGUUAAACCAUUUUACAAGGCCUUUUAAGAUGGGCCUCACAUUAACCAAUCGUCGUUUUAACAUUGACAAGUUCAGGGUCUGUAUAAGAUUAACUUGUCAAACAUUCGGCGGGUCAUACCAGGAUUACCUGGACGGAGUGGCUUACUUGAUGAAGGCAGGUUAACCCGGGCUUUUAGGUGAAUACACCUAGCUUCCAAGCCUGGCUUGAUAGCCUAUUGCCAGGGUCCUUUAAAACUCUUUGUUGCUGUGCAGAAAGAGCCCGGAGGUAACAUUUUGAGCUAUGCUCAGUGGGUGCCUAUGUUUGAGUUGUGCUUGGCAACAGACUCUCUUUGGCCCCUUGGGUGUGAAGCCCCCCAAGCUUUGUUGUGGCUUUAUAAGCCGGUUUAAUGGAUAAUCAGAACUUCACUUUAUAAGGAGAAGCCCCCAUGUAACCAAGAAAUCUUUUUGAAGAACGGCGGAGGCCCUGCUUUAGCAAGGAUGCUGGUUUAUUAUAUUGAUCAUAAUAUAUACAUUAUCAAAAUAUGUACAUGAUAGGAGCCAAUGGCUCAGGUAUAGUAAGGCCGAAGAUGAGUUAUAUUCCACGGCCGACGGCUCUCCUCCUCCGAUUUGCAUGAGUCUUUGUGCUCUCGAACAUCGAUAAGGUAGUAUGACCUGUUGUUCAGAUUCUUGCUAACCACAAAGUGCCCUUCCCAAGGUGGGGAUAACUUGUGCAUGUCAGUCUGAUCUUGGAUAAGCCGGAGCACUAAGUCGCCUUCUUGAAAAGCUCUGGUUUUAACCCGGCGGCUGUGAUGACGCCGCAGGUCUCGCUGAUAAAUCGGCGAACGAGCUGCUACAAUAUCCUGUUUUUCAUCUAACAGGUCCACUGCAUCUUGGCGUGCCCUUUCAUUGUCCGCUUCAACAUAAGCUGCCACUCGGGGCGAGUCAUGGCGAAUAUCACUUGGGAGAACUGCUUCCGCUCCAUAAACCAUGAAGAAGGGUGUGUAACCCAUAGAUCUAUUGGGGGUGGUGUUAAUGCUCCAUAAAACAAAAGGCAACUCUUCCACCCAACAACCCAGCGUCCUCUGCAAAGGGACCAUAAGCCGGGGCUUGAUACCCUUCAGGAUUUAUUGAUUAGCUCUCUCCGCUUGACCAUUAGACUGAGGGUGAGCCACUGAGGACACAUCAAGCCGGAUGUGCUCACGUUGACAGAACUCUUCCAUAGCACCCUUGGAGAGAUUCGUGCCAUUAUCUGUUAUAGUGCUGUGUGGAAAACCGAAGCGGAAAAUCACCUUUUUCAUGAAUUGAACCGCCAUGGCCGCAUCACACUUGCUUACUGGCUCUGCCUCCACCCACUUGGUGAAUUUAUCAACCGCCACUAGAAGGUGGGUCUUCUUAUCCUUGGACCUCUUAAAAGGCCCAACCAUAUCUAGCCCCCAAGUUGCAAAUGGCCAAGUUAUUGGAAUCAUCCUCAAUUCUUGGGCCGGAACAUGAGCUCAGCAUGAAAACUUCUGACAGCCAUCACACUUCCUGACCAGAUCCUCCGCAUCAGCAUGAGCUGUUAACCAGUUAAAACCAUGUCAGAAAGCCUUAGCCACCAAGGAUUUUGAACUGGCACGAUGACCACAAUCUCCUUCGUGGAUUUCACGCAAGAUCUCACAGCCUUCUUCAGGAGAAACGCAACGCUGAAACGCCCCUGAGACACUGCAAUGAUGUAACUCGCCAUUGACAAUAGUCAUAGACUUGGACCACCGGAUUAUCUGUCUGGCCAUAACUUCGUCCUCGGGUAACUCGCCCCAGGUCAUAUACGCUAGGUAUGGCACUGUCCAAUCAAGGAUAGCAUGAAGAACCGCCACCAACAGAGCCUCCGGGUCAGGAACAGCCAGAUCCUCCUCUGUUGGUAUUUUGACCAACGGAUUAUGCAUAACGUCAAGAAAAACAUUGGGCGGCACCGGUUUACGCUGGGAUCCGAGCCGUCUUAAAGUGUCCACCGCUUCAUUCUUGCGCCGAUCAAUGUGCUCGACCUGGUAACCCUUGAAGUGACCGGAAAUGAUAUCCACCUCGCACCGAUAAGCCGCCAUGAGUGGAUCCUUAGAAUCCCAAGUACCAGACACUUGCUGAGCCACUAAAUCGGAGUCGCCGAAGCAACGUACCCAGAUUAAGUUCUUCUCCUUAGCCAUCCGAAGACCGUGGAGUAAGGCCUCGUACUCAGCUGCAUUGUUAGUACAGGGAAACAUCAAACGGAGAACAUAACAAAAUUGGUCACCUCUAGGGGAAGUAAGAACCACUCCAGCCCCCCGAGCCCUCCAAUUGUCUGGAUCCAUAGAAGUGAAUAGUCCAGUACAUGUUAUCUGGUUUAUCCUCCGGCGCCUACAACUCUGUCCAGUCGUUGAUGAAAUCCACGAGCGCUUGGGACUUGAUAGCUGUGCGAGGCAUGUAUUUUACCCCGUGAUGUCCAAGAUCGAUAGCCUACUUAGCAACCCGACCAGUCGCCUCUCUGUUCUGAAUGAUAUCUCCCAAAGGAGCGGAACUGACCACAGUAAUGGGAUGGCCCUGAAAGUACUGCUUAAGCUUUCGGCUCGCCAUAAACACUCCAUACACCAACUUCUGCCAAUGUAGAUAUCUCUGCUUGGACUCGAUAAGUACCUCACUGAUAUAAUAAACCGGCCGUUGAACCGGAUACUCCUUACCAGCUUCCUUGCGGUCCACCACAAUAGCCACGCUAACAGCCCGGGCGUUAGCAGCCACAUAUAACAGCAAUGGUUCUUUAUCAAUGGGGGCAGCAAGAACAGGUGGUUCAGCUAACUGCUUUUUCAGAUCCUGAAAUGCCGCAUUAGCAGCAUCACUCCAGACAAAGUUGUCUGUCUUCUUCAUCAUCUGAUACAGAGGGAUGGACUUCUCUCCCAAUCGGCUGAUAAACCGACUUAGUGCUGCAAUACGACCCGCCAGUCAUUGAACAUCAUUGAUACACACUGGUUUAGCCAGGGACGUACUAGCCUUGAUCUUUUCCGGAUUAGUUUCAAUGCCCCUGUUAGAUACCAGAAAACCCAAGAGCUUGCCUGCUGGUACAUCAAAAACGCACUUGGCCAGAUUAAGCAUCAUCUUAUAAACCUGGAGGUUAUCAAAGGUCUCCUCCAAAUCACAUAUUAGCGUCUCCGCCUUCCUGGAUUUCACCAUGAUAUCAUCCACAGAAACAUGAACAUUGCGCCCAAUCUGAUUAUGAGGGCAAUUCUGCACACACCGCUGAUAAGUCGCCUGGGCACUCAUGAGCCUAAAAGGCAUAGAUACAUAGGAGAAGGCUCCAAAGGGAGUUAUAAAAGUCGUCUUCUCCUGGUCCUUAACUGCCAUUUUGAUCUGAUGAUAACCCGAAUAAGCAUCCAGAAAACUCAACCGCUCACAACCCGCCGUAGCAUCAAUGAUUUGAUCAAUAUGGGGGAGGGCAAAGGGAUCAGCUGGACAAGCCUUGUUUAAAUCUGUGUAAUCCACACACAUACACCAAGUGUCGUUCUUCUUGAGUACCAGCACUAGGUUAGCCAACCACUCAGGGUGAAAAACCUCCACAAUAAACCCUGCUGCCAAGAGCCGGGCUGCCUCCUCACCAAUGGCCUUGCGUCUCUCUUCAUUGAAGCGACGGAGAAACUGGUUGACCGGUUUAAACUUGGGAUCGAUAUUCAGAGUGUGCUCAGCGAGUUCCCUCGGUACACCUGGCAUGUCAGAAGGUUUCCAUGCAAAGAUGUCCCGGUUCUCACGGAUGAACUCGAUGAGCGCACUUUCCUAUUUCAGAUCCAAGUUAGCGCUGAUGCUAAACUGCUUGGAUGAAUCGCCAGGAACAAAAUCAACCAACUUAGUCUCAUUAGCCAAUUUAAACUUCAAAUUCGGAUCAUGCUCUGUAGUGGGUUUCUUCAAAGAAGUCAUAUUCGCUGGAUUAACAUUGUCUUUAUAGAAUUUUAACUCCUCUGUUGCACAAACCGACUCAGCAUAAGCAGCAUCACCUUCUUCACAUUCCAAAGCGACUUUUUGGCUUCCGUGCACUGUGAUGGUCCCCUUAUGACCCGGCAUCUUGAGCUGCAGAUAAACAUAACACGGCCUUGCCAUGAACUAAGCAUAAGUCGGCCGUCCAAAUAGGGCAUGGUACGGACUCCUGAUUUUCACCACUUCAAAAGUCAAUGUUUCUGACCUUGAAUCAUGAUCUUCUCCAAAAGGAACCUCCAGAGCUAUCUUACCGACCGGGUAGGCCGAUUUACCAAGCACCACAUCGUGAAAAACGGUGUUCGACGGUUUAAGAUUCUUAUCUGUCAACCCCAUACGCCGGAAGGUUUCAUAAUACAAGAUGUUCAUACUGCUCCCUCCAUCCAUGAGCACCUUGGUGAACUUAUAACCUCCAACCUGCGGUGGUACCACCAACGCCAGAUGACCCGGAUUAUCAAUCCGGGGCGGAUGAUCUUCUCGACUCCACAUAAUAGGCUGUUCAGACGAGCGCAAAUAACGGGGCAUCGCCGGUUCAACGGAAUUCACUGCCCUUUUAUGAAGCUUCUGAUCGCGCUUGCACGGGCUAGUAGUGAAGACAUGAUACUGUCCACUAUUCAACUGCUUCGGGUGACUCUGAUAACCUGACUGUUGAUGUUGCUGAUUCCCCUACUGAUUAUAACCACCUUGGUUGCCCUGAUUGCCUUGAUUACCCUGUCCACCUUGAUUACCUUGAAACCCCGAACCGGAGUUACCUCCACCAUAACUAGGCCCGUGAAACCCGGGUCCUGAACCGCCGAACGGUCCAUGAUCAUACCGGAAGAGAUCUGAGUUUUUGAACUCUCGCACAAUAAAGCAAUCCUUCCAGAGGUGCUUAGUUGGCUUCUCUGGCGUCCCGUGCUUUGGGCAAGGCCGAUUUAACAUGCGCUCCAGAUUCAUACCUGAUCCUCCACUCCGCGGUGGCGGUUUACCCUUACGACGCUGACCAUUACCUUGUACGUUGGUGUUAGCCACAAAAUCCAAACUAUUGUCUGCUUUACGCUUACCAUUGUUCCCAUGGCCUGCCUGGUUGUGUUGUUGUCCUUUUGUACCACCGUUCUUCUUUCCCUUCCCCGGCUUCUCAUCGUCAGACUCGGGAUCCUUGGUACUAUCAGAAUCGGCAUACUCGGGAUCCCAUGUCAUUGCAGUGACGCUUGAGCUGUCCCAACUUCAACUUCAGCGGUUUAAAUCGGCAAUUGCCCUCUAAUGUUAUGACUGCCAAGUCAGCAUUGAUGAAGUCCGACGAAUGUAGGAUUUCCGAAACCCGGCGCACCCAAUGAGUUGUUGAUUCACCUUCUUCUUGGAUACAAGCGGCUAGAUCCACAAUUGACAUGGGUUGCUUG
RNAcentral lists this long non-coding RNA (42361 nucleotides) under Triticum aestivum (bread wheat). RNAcentral's name for it is "long non-coding RNA (TAES_LNC003801)". Lineage: Eukaryota; Viridiplantae; Streptophyta; Magnoliopsida; Poales; Poaceae. The record is from RNAcentral.